AGAGUUUGAUCCUGGCUCAGGACGAACGCUGGCGGCGUGCUUAACACAUGCAAGUCGAACGGAAAGGCCCUUCGGGGUGCUCGAGUGGCGAACGGGUGAGUAACACGUGGGUGAUCUGCCCUGCACUUUGGGAUAAGCCUGGGAAACUGGGUCUAAUACCGGAUAGGACUCCGAGAUGCAUGUCUUGGGGUGGAAAGCUUUUGCGGUGUGGGAUGGGCCCGCGGCCUAUCAGCUUGUUGGUGGGGUGAUGGCCUACCAAGGCGACGACGGGUAGCCGGCCUGAGAGGGUGUCCGGCCACACUGGGACUGAGAUACGGCCCAGACUCCUACGGGAGGCAGCAGUGGGGAAUAUUGCACAAUGGGCGCAAGCCUGAUGCAGCGACGCCGCGUGAGGGAUGACGGCCUUCGGGUUGUAAACCUCUUUCAGUACCGACGAAGCGUAAGUGACGGUAGGUACAGAAGAAGCACCGGCCAACUACGUGCCAGCAGCCGCGGUAAUACGUAGGGUGCGAGCGUUGUCCGGAAUUACUGGGCGUAAAGAGCUCGUAGGUGGUUUGUCGCGUUGUUCGUGAAAACUCACAGCUUAACUGUGGGCGUGCGGGCGAUACGGGCAGACUGGAGUACUGCAGGGGAGACUGGAAUUCCUGGUGUAGCGGUGGAAUGCGCAGAUAUCAGGAGGAACACCGGUGGCGAAGGCGGGUCUCUGGGCAGUAACUGACGCUGAGGAGCGAAAGCGUGGGGAGCGAACAGGAUUAGAUACCCUGGUAGUCCACGCCGUAAACGGUGGGUACUAGGUGUGGGUUUCCUUCCUUGGGAUCCGUGCCGUAGCUAACGCAUUAAGUACCCCGCCUGGGGAGUACGGCCGCAAGGCUAAAACUCAAAGGAAUUGACGG
RNAcentral lists this ribosomal RNA (893 nucleotides) under uncultured bacterium. RNAcentral's name for it is "bacterial SSU rRNA". It matches the Rfam family "Bacterial small subunit ribosomal RNA", at positions 8 to 916 of the family's 1533-position model. The record is from RNAcentral.